RNAcentral lists this small nuclear RNA (177 nucleotides) under Solanum tuberosum (potato). RNAcentral's name for it is "snRNA U1". It matches the Rfam family "U1 spliceosomal RNA". Rfam says of the family: U1 is a small nuclear RNA (snRNA) component of the spliceosome (involved in pre-mRNA splicing). Its 5' end forms complementary base pairs with the 5' splice junction, thus defining the 5' donor site of an intron. There are significant differences in sequence and secondary structure between metazoan and yeast U1 snRNAs, the latter being much longer (568 nucleotides as compared to 164 nucleotides in human). Lineage: Eukaryota; Viridiplantae; Streptophyta; Magnoliopsida; Solanales; Solanaceae. The record is from RNAcentral.
AAACCGAAAAGGACGAAUAGCAGAUUGCCCAGUGCACAUUUUAAGUUGUGACCUUCAUUGCACUUUGGAGGGGUGCCUACCUAAGGUCGACCCAAGUGGUCGAGCCUACAUCAUAACUUGGGUCGACCCUACAUCAUAAUUUGUUGCAGAGGGGACCUGCGUUCGCGCGGCCACUGC